GUGAGUGUGGUGUAUGGUACACAGCUGCCUUUCAUGUGUCGUUUCCAGUUGGGAGAUUGUAGGCAGCAGGACCGGGUUCGAUUCCCGGCACCCAUG
Molecule: non-coding RNA, 96 nt
Organism: Mycena alexandri
Lineage: Eukaryota; Fungi; Basidiomycota; Agaricomycetes; Agaricales; Mycenaceae
Source: the annotation of a GenBank genome assembly